Long non-coding RNA from Haplochromis burtoni (Burton's mouthbrooder), 356 nucleotides. RefSeq lists it as uncharacterized. The transcript is spliced from 4 exons. The record is from RefSeq and is a predicted model, not a curated record. Lineage: Eukaryota; Metazoa; Chordata; Actinopteri; Cichliformes; Cichlidae.
GCAGAAGUAAAACAGCCUCCACCUACAAAAACAUGCAUCAUAAAACAGGCGUAAGCGCUCACUGGAAGCUGAUUACAAAAUGAGAGGACUCACACUGCUCUGUUUGGUGGGACUUAUUCUCACAGCUUCGCUGCAUGAAGGAAGCACAGCACCAGCAGAGAAUACUCAAACUGAGUUGUGCUAUGGGUGCUGGGGUCCCCUUGAAGGUACACGUGAUGAAACUGAAUCAGCCGGGGGAAAUGACACACAGACCGUUCAUCAGAACAUUUCAGUGGAAGCAACAGUGGACGACCGUGAUUCUGCUCAUGUUACUGUCUUACCUAAAUAAUCAUUAAAAGUCUGUUGUGAGAAAAGUU